UCUUCUUCGUUUCCAACUUCUCCUCUUCGUUCAUUGUUUAUUGUUUAUCUCUGUAGAAUGUAAUGGAAAAAUUCUGAAAGAGGCGAUACUGAGAGAAAUGGUGAUUCGUAAUCAAAGAAUCUCCAUCAAUUUUUUCUUAUUACCCUAUUUAUUCUCUGCCACUCGAAAAAAAACCCUAGGUUUUAAAUUUUGGGUUUCUCGAAAACCAAGAUGAAGUGAGAGGCAUGAAUAUUGAUUCAAAACUCAACAAUGCCUCUGAUUUUUUGAAGAGAGAAUUCAAAGUACCACAGUUAUCAGAUUUGGGUGUUGAGAUAACCAGGUGAACCAAAGUAGAAAUGAAAGCUGUUUUUUUACUUUUUCAAGUUGUGGUGCUCUUAUAUGAAUUUUCGCUGCGUUAGUUGGUGAUUUGGAUUGUAGCAUCCCUCACCCUCCUUAGGCCUCCUAUUCGGAACAAUGUUUCACAUGGCGCACCAUAGCAGCACAAAUCGUCAUUUUGCCUCCGUUCAGUGAAUUUCUGAGUUUGGUUGUGGUGCCAUAUGUAGAGUGAAUGUAAAUGCUAAAGUAAGUAGGUAUACCCUGUCCAGUGAAUUUCUUAAUUUUGCCUCCGUUCCCAACUGUCUACUUUUUGGACUCCCACACUCAAAGAAUAAGGGCAAGUGGGUUAUCUAAGUUGAAAAGAGCAAAAUCUUCCAGAAGUUAAGAGAGAUACCAUUAUUUUUCAGCUACCUACUUUUCUUUGGUUCACAAUUGCUUACAGAGUGUUAUUUUGUAGAUUCAAAUGAAAUUUUGAUGUAUAUGAUGUGGUACCAAUAAAUAGUACUGAUCAAUUAUGUGAAUUGAUAGUUAGAAAUGUCGACCCUCUUA
This is a long non-coding RNA of Papaver somniferum (opium poppy), 864 nucleotides long. RefSeq lists it as uncharacterized. The record is from RefSeq and is a predicted model, not a curated record. Lineage: Eukaryota; Viridiplantae; Streptophyta; Magnoliopsida; Ranunculales; Papaveraceae. The transcript is spliced from 3 exons.